UAAACUCAACAUAACCCCAUAAUUGGUUGUCACAUGUACAAACCUCUAAUACGGAAUCUGAAUAAAAUAUACAAGUCUCAUAGUAAAGUUCUAGAAUAGAACAGAACAAUAAAUAUAGAUAACUUGAGGGCACGUCUGGAAUGAACCGCUACCUCUCAAGUAAGUCUGGAAGCUCUAAUCUGAAGAUGAGUAAUAAGCCGGAUCUGAUAGAGCUGUCAACCUACACAACUGUGUAGAAGCAAGGGUGAGUACCAAAAGCAACAAGUACUCGCAAGUAACACUAAACUAAGCUAAACUAGCAGCUACAAACAACUCCUUUCAAUCCCAACCGAACCACCGAAACUUCAUUCUAACAGCGAACCAACAACCUAUACUACACAAUUCAUAAUCAACAGAUAUAUCCAACAGUGUCUCAACGUCAAUCUCAUAUCCUCAUGUAAGAGCAAAUAGAUCAUAUAUCACAUGAAGAGGGGCAAAUGAGUAAAAUCCAUACACCACAGACAAAGAUGAAGUCAAAUGCAAUAAUGAUGUCAUGUAGUUGUAAUGCAUGUCUGUCCUAAGAUACACAUCUGUUGACACAAUCAGACCGCGCUGAAUACUCAAAUCAAAACCCAUGGGGCCCACACAUGGACCAUGUAUCACCGCCGGAACCAGAUCCCAUCGGCAUCCAAAUCGCUAGCCGGAGCUAGUCCAUCUCAUAUAUCUCUAGCCGGAGCUAGUCUCAACUGUGUCUCAUAUCCAUCCAUCCUCAUAUCAGUGUCUCAGAACUCAUGCAACAGAUAGUUCACACAUGGGAUGAAUAAUGAAUAUGCACAUGUCAUCAAUCACAAUCAUAUCACGAUCACAUCAUAAUAUUACACAUCAUUUGUCUGGGAUGAAUAAUGAAUAUGCACAUGUCAUCAAUCACAAUCAUAUUACGAUCACAUCAUAGUAUUACACAUCAUCUGUUUCAACAUCAAUGUCUGUAUCAAUCAUAGCCUACUCAUGCUCUUCUAUCCCCUCAAUAUCAGUUAUCACAUGACUUAUUCAACAAAUUCAAGUCACAUAUAACACAUUUAGCUCGUUUUAUUCCCCAUCUUUCAAUUACAACAAUUUCAAUCAACAAAUAAAACUCAUCCUCAAUCCCCAUUACUCCCCAACACAAUUAGGAAAGUAGUCAUGUGUAGUCUAAGAGUUUAACAAAGUUUAGAAGUCACUUGCCUCAAAACACUUCAACUAGUAACUCAAAUUUGAGUUUUACCCUUCCGAGCACGCUCCAAAUCACCACAAUCCAAUGAAUUCCUUGCGAAAACCCACUUGAAAUCACCUAUUUUCGAUCUCUCAAAGUCUAAAAAUGGAGAAAUGGGUAUUUUUCAAGUUAGGGGAAAAUGGCUACUGG
This 1378-nucleotide long non-coding RNA is filed under the name Solanum tuberosum (potato). RNAcentral's name for it is "long non-coding RNA (STUB_LNC009791)". Lineage: Eukaryota; Viridiplantae; Streptophyta; Magnoliopsida; Solanales; Solanaceae. The record is from RNAcentral.